This is a long non-coding RNA of Gossypium raimondii (Peruvian cotton), 2003 nucleotides long. RefSeq lists it as uncharacterized. The record is from RefSeq and is a predicted model, not a curated record. The transcript has 2 exons. Lineage: Eukaryota; Viridiplantae; Streptophyta; Magnoliopsida; Malvales; Malvaceae.
UUACCAUAAAGAAGUCGAAUUUGCUAUUAACAAUUUAGAAAAUUUUUCCAAUAUUGAUACUUUCAUGAAAGUGGGUAAGAUUUCAAACCACCUUGUUGUGCUCAGUUGGUCAUGACAUCACACAUCAAUCCUACUUUUAAGGGUCUAAUCAAGAUUGAGGUAGCUAUUAAAGAUGGUUUUUCUGGACCCUGUUAAACACUUGCCAUUACUUUUAUUGAUAAUUCGGUUUCGAAAAAUAAUAAUUGGGUAGAGGGUAGUGCUCUUGGAGAAUCGAUAGAAGGAUACCCGGGAUUUAAAAGACGGGGCUCGGGAUCCAACGGGAUUUCUUUUUAAAGCGGAAGAAGCCUCAACAAAACUAUUAGGGGUCAUGGUGGUCGUUUCAAAGUUGCUGGAAAUUAUCGAAUUCCUCUAGCUAAUGCGAUGAACUCCAUGGUCGAGAUGAUUAGUGCCAAGUUGGGAUGGGUUUUAAUGCUGGCGUAGUGUGUACUAUUGGGGAUAUCCAGAAGGAACCAAAAACCCCCCAAGUGGUAGAGGUAUGGUUUUUAAUCUCUUUUCUUAUUAUUUUAUGAAUUUAACAAUUUUUUCAUAGAAUUGUCAAGGAUGCGCGAAUAAUAAAUUCUCACGUAUUUUUCAUGAGUAUAAAUGUUUGAAUAAACCAGAUAUUGUUGGUUUAUUAGAAACUAGAGUUAGUGGAAGUAAAGCAGACUCGAUCAUUGCAAAGCUGGGUUUUCAGUUUUCUCACCGUGUGGAAGCUAUCAGCUUUUCUGGAGGCAUUUGGAUUGGUUGGAAGGACUCGGUAAAAGUUGAGAUCAUUCAUAACCAUCCUUAAUUUGUCUUAAUUUGAGCAUAUACUACCGAUGCGUCGAGGCCUAUUUUCAUCACAUUUGUUUAUGGGAGUCUGAAUGACAAAGGAAAAGAAUUCUUUGAGUUGAUCUAAAGACGACUAUAAACUGGUGAUGAAAGUUAUUGCUAACCGGUUCAAAGUUGUUUUGCCAAGGAUAAUCUCGCAGGAGCAGGCUGGUUUUGUUACAGGUAGGAAUAUCACGGAUAAUGUUCUUAUUGCUCAAGAGGUAAUUCAUCCCAUGAAGAAGCAGAAGAACAAAAACUGGAUGGUCAUAAAAAUUAAAUUGGAAAAGGCAUAUAACAGGGUUCGUUCAAAAUUCAUUGACGCUUCUCUCCAUGCUGCAGGUAUACCUAAUAUUAUUCAUCAUGUUAUUAUGUCUGCUAUCACGUCUUCUUCUAUGCAGGUUCUGUGGAAUGGAGUUCCAACUCAGAAAUUUAGGCCUGCAAGGGGAAUAUGACAGGGAUGUCCACUCUUUUCGUACCUUUUUGUUAUGUGUAUGGAGUGGCUAAGUCAUAGUAUUCAUUCUGCCAUUACUACAGGGAAGUGGAAGCCUAUAUAAUUAUCUCGACAAGAACGAGUGUUGACAGGUAAUUGGAUCCAGAUGUACAUUGAUGGAGCUGUUAAAGCAGAAUCUAGCCUCGCAACCGUAGGAGGAGUCAUGCGUAAUCGAAGCUGGAAAUGGAUCUUAGGCUUCAACUGAUAUUUGGGAAUAUGCUCAGUCUUGGAAGCUGAAUUAUGGGCCAUCUUCGAUGGCUUGGCUCCUAUCUUAAAUUUGGGACAUGACAAAGUGUUGAUUAACACGGACAAUAUGGAGGCAGCUCGGGCUAUUUAGGAUAAUUCUUCAAGGGACUCAAAUUCUACUUUGGUUAAGCAAAUUCAACAGCUAUUGACAAAAGCAAACCAAUGGCAAAUCCAACAUAUUUCGAGAAAAAAAAAACAAAGUUGUAGACUAUCUUGCUAAAAUGGCUUGUAAUAAUGAUAAUAAUAUGAAAUUGUUUGAACAACCUCCUAGUCAUGUGUUAGUCUAGGUUAAGCUUCCUUAGUUAUGUUUAUUUUCACCAAAAAAAGAAGAAGCAAUAAUGCAUGUACCUAUUAUAUGUUUUUUAAUUUGACUGAUUUUAUUUCCACUUUAUUUAUUUAACAUAGUUACCACUUUCUU